GUGAAUCAUCGAAUCUUUGAACGCACAUUGCGCCCGCCAGUAUUCUGGCGGGCAUGCCUGUUCGAGCGUCAUUUCAACCCUCAAGACCCCUUCGGGGGACUUGGUGUUGGGGACCGGCUGUUCCCGGCCUGCUUCUUGCAGCGCCUUUAUGCCGCCCCCGAAAUGAAUUGGCGGCCUCGUCGCGGCCUCCCCUGCGUAGUAGCACAACCUCGCAACGGGAACGUGACGGCGGCCACUGCCGUAAAACAACCCCAAUUUUAUUAGAGUUGACCUCGAAUCAGGUAGGAAUACCCGCUGAAC
Molecule: unclassified non-coding RNA, 300 nt
Filed under: uncultured Metarhizium
Lineage: Eukaryota; Fungi; Ascomycota; Sordariomycetes; Hypocreales; Clavicipitaceae
Description: sequence contains 5.8S rRNA gene, ITS2
Rfam family: 5.8S ribosomal RNA (bases 1-71)
Source: RNAcentral